AUCUCGAGGUUUCCAAUAGUCAGCAUGGCUGGAACGCUGUUCAAAUCUGCUCUUAACCAUUUGCUGAAACAGGGCCUUCUGCUGCAUGUCUCCUCUAGAAUAAUUGAAUAUUUUUGUAUGUGACUUGGUUUUUGAAAUGUUCUGUGUGGAUUCUCACACAGGGAGCAGCUUUGGGUGUGGGUGAAUUGUUAAAAACUGCGAACUUGAGGCAUUUGCCUUCUGCAAAACCUAAAUUGACGUUUCUAGAAAGAAUGCUUUGGAGUCUAAUGAGUUACGCUGUUUCCAAGAAAUGUGCUCUUUCUGUCUUUUAGGCCUAUUACAGGUGAAGGCAAUUCAGUUAUGGUGGUGUAAACCGAAACCGGCUUUGCUGGUGCCAUCACAAAUGUUUUCAAGCACUUAGAGCCCUUGGUUUCUUUCUGUUUGGUUCAUCUGCACAAUCAAUAGGUUGUGCAAAACAGUCAUUAAGAUGACUAUUUUCAUUUUCGGUUUCACCACAGGAGUCUCAAAUAGCCAAGGGUUAUGUGUUUGGGGUGUGUGUGUUUGUUUGGUGUGUGUAUGUGUGUUUGUUUGUUUGCUUGUUUUAAAUCCAGAGCCAAUAACUUAAAUUUCAUCCUUAUUUAGAAGUUUCAGGAAAAGAUUUUUAGUUAGUACCGAUUUUUAGCGGAAUUUGCAGGAAAUCUGCUUCAUACAGAAUACUCGCCUGAGCAGGACGGUUUAGGUGACAUACUUGCUUCUGAUUAAGGAAGGUAUGCUAUCUUCUGUUAGGAAGAUUUCCAAGAUAUUUGUGAAUACUUUUGUCACCAUAUACUGAAAAUUGCCUGCUCAUGUUGGGGCGUAUUCUUGAACAUUACAUCUCUAAAAUUGUGUUCUUCUUUAAUCUGUCCAUUUGGAUGUAAACUGCCACAGAGUGUGUAUUCAAAUAAAGCCUUAUUUGAUUACUAACUCAUCAUGAAAGGAAGUGUCUCUGUUCGAUGGGGAUGUUUUAUGAGUUUGACAAUGGUACUGUUCAUUUGGGAACAUUUUGAAGGAAGAGGAAAAAGUUCGCAGUAAUACUGGAAGAACGGUGUAAAAGAUAAUGUGUGUUUAAUGAAUAAAAUGAG
This is a long non-coding RNA of Cuculus canorus (common cuckoo), 1100 nucleotides long. RefSeq lists it as uncharacterized. The record is from RefSeq and is a predicted model, not a curated record. The transcript has 3 exons. Lineage: Eukaryota; Metazoa; Chordata; Aves; Cuculiformes; Cuculidae.